CACCUGGAAACAGAUGCUAAUACCGCAUAACAACUUGGACCGCAUGGUCCGAGUUUGAAAGAUGGCUUCGGCUAUCACUUUUGGAUGGUCCCGCGGCGUAUUAGCUAGAUGGUGGGGUAACGGCUCACCAUGGCAAUGAUACGUAGCCGACCUGAGAGGGUAAUCGGCCACAUUGGGACUGAGACACGGCCCAAACUCCUACGGGAGGCAGCAGUAGGGAAUCUUCCACAAUGGACGAAAGUCUGAUGGAGCAACGCCGCGUGAGUGAAGAAGGGUUUCGGCUCGUAAAACUCUGUUGUUAAAGAAGAACAUAUCUGAGAGUAACUGUUCAGGUAUUGACGGUAUUUAACCAGAAAGCCACGGCUAACUACGUGCCAGCAGCCGCGGUAAUACGUAGGUGGCAAGCGUUGUCCGGAUUUAUUGGGCGUAAAGCGAGCGCAGGCGGUUUUUUAAGUCUGAUGUGAAAGCCUUCGGCUCAACCGAAGAAGUGCAUCGGAAACUGGGAAACUUGAGUGCAGAAGAGGACAGUGGAACUCCAUGUGUAGCGGUGAAAUGCGUAGAUAUAUGGAAGAACACCAGUGGCGAAGGCGGCUGUCUGGUCUGUAACUGACGCUGAGGCUCGAAAGUAUGGGUAGCAAACAGGAUUAGAUACCCUGGUAGUCCAUACCGUAAACGAUGAAUGCUAAGUGUUGGAGGGUUUCCGCCCUUCAGUGCUGCAGCUAACGCAUUAAGCAUUCCGCCUGGGGAGUACGGCCGCAAGGCUGAAACUCAAAGGAAUUGACGGGGGCCCGCACAAGCGGUGGAGCAUGUGGUUUAAUUCGAAGCUACGCGAAGAACCUUACCAGGUCUUGACAUACUAUGCAAAUCUAAGAGAUUAGACGUUCCCUUCGGGGACAUGGAUACAGGUGGUGCAUGGUUGUCGUCAGCUCGUGUCGUGAGAUGUUGGGUUAAGUCCCGCAACGAGCGCAACCCUUAUUAUCAGUUGCCAGCAUUAAGUUGGGCACUCUGGUGAGACUGCCGGUGACAAACCGGAGGAAGGUGGGGAUGACGUCAAAUCAUCAUGCCCCUUAUGACCUGGGCUACACACGUGCUACAAUGGAUGGUACAACGAGUUGCGAACUCGCGAGAGUAAGCUAAUCUCUUAAAGCCAUUCUCAGUUCGGAUUGUAGGCUGCAACUCGCCUACAUGAAGUCGGAAUCGCUAGUAAUCGCGGAUCAGCAUGCCGCGGUGAAUACGUUCCCGGGCCUUGUACACACCG
This 1258-nucleotide ribosomal RNA is filed under the name Lactiplantibacillus pentosus. Its description in RNAcentral is "bacterial SSU rRNA". It matches the Rfam family "Bacterial small subunit ribosomal RNA", at positions 147 to 1392 of the family's 1533-position model. Lineage: Bacteria; Bacillati; Bacillota; Bacilli; Lactobacillales; Lactobacillaceae. The record is from RNAcentral.